RNAcentral lists this small RNA (27 nucleotides) under Bombyx mori (domestic silkworm). RNAcentral's name for it is "ovarian small RNA-36192". Lineage: Eukaryota; Metazoa; Arthropoda; Insecta; Lepidoptera; Bombycidae. The record is from RNAcentral.
UGUUGUAGGUGACGCAAGAAUUGUGAC